GUUUCCCUGCCUUGCCCGUGACCGGCCGGCAUGCAUCCCGGGACCCAAUGCUUCGGAAGCGGGAGCUCGAGUACGGGGUGGUGUGCACGGCCCAUGGCGCUGCCAGCGGGUCGUCCUGAAAUCCCGGGGAGGGCGCCCACCUGUCAUAGACAGGGUUCCGGAGCAUCCGUCCGGCACGACAAGGCGGGGAUAUU
RNAcentral lists this non-coding RNA (194 nucleotides) under Nitrospirota bacterium. RNAcentral's name for it is "6S RNA". It matches the Rfam family "6S / SsrS RNA". From Rfam's summary of the family: E. coli 6S RNA was the first non coding RNA to be sequenced, but its function was unknown until recently. It consists of 184 nucleotides that fold into an extended hairpin structure with a large single-stranded internal bulge. The record is from RNAcentral. Lineage: Bacteria; Pseudomonadati; Nitrospirota.